GAUGAAGAACGUAGCGAAAUGCGAUAAGUAAUGCGAAUUGCAGAAUUCAGUGAAUCAUCGAAUCUUUGAACGCACAUUGCGCCCUUUGGUAUUCCUUAGGGCAUGCCUGUUCGAGCGUCAUUUAAACCUUCAAGCUCAGCUUGGUGUUGGGUGACUGUCCGCUUCACCGCGGACUCGCCUCAAAAUUAUUGGCGGCCGGUACAUUGGCUCUCGAGCGCAGCAGAAACGCGUAACUCGAGGUCCUCGUGCUGGCUCCCAGAAGCUAUCUUCACAAUUUUGACCUCGGAUCAGGUAGGGAUACCCGCUGAACUUAAGCAUAUCAAUAAGCGGAGGA
Molecule: unclassified non-coding RNA, 334 nt
Filed under: soil metagenome
Description: partial contains 5.8S ribosomal RNA, internal transcribed spacer 2, and large subunit ribosomal RNA
Rfam family: 5.8S ribosomal RNA (bases 1-120)
Source: RNAcentral